This 424-nucleotide long non-coding RNA is filed under the name Setaria italica (foxtail millet). RNAcentral's name for it is "long non-coding RNA (SITA_LNC001333)". The record is from RNAcentral. Lineage: Eukaryota; Viridiplantae; Streptophyta; Magnoliopsida; Poales; Poaceae.
CGAAAGUAUGAGGGUAAGUGCAGCUUCCAGAUGGCUUUGUUGUCUUUGGUUUUACCAAUUCUUUGUUUUACGCUUACGACUGGUUUUUUUUUAGCGUGCAGAUUUUCAACGAGCUAUGAAGUCAAUGAGCUCAGAAGAGCUCUUUAACCUGGAGACCAACCUCGUAAAGAAGGUACGAUUGUGAGAUAAUUUGGUAGUUUGUCUUGCAAGUAUUGUAUUUUACUUCGUUAUUUUUGGUAACUUGGUUUUUAAAAUCUAUAGGUCUCUUACUCUUCGAUGAUUACAAGGGAUCGGCUUGCGAAGAGCGAGAAAGCAGCCUCGGAGCUUUCGAAGAAGGUAGCUUCGCUAGAAGCGACUAUUGCUGCAAUAUCCUUGGAGAUGAAGAGGGUCAAGGCUGAGAAUUCUGAGCUGAAGGAGGACUCUC